GGGCAUGUGGCUCAAGUGGUAAAGCAUCUGCCUAGCAAGCCCAAGGCCCUAAGUUCAAAUUUUAGCACUACCA
This 73-nucleotide transfer RNA is filed under the name Dipodomys ordii (Ord's kangaroo rat). It matches the Rfam family "tRNA". From Rfam's summary of the family: Transfer RNA (tRNA) molecules are approximately 80 nucleotides in length. Lineage: Eukaryota; Metazoa; Chordata; Mammalia; Rodentia; Heteromyidae. The record is from Rfam by way of RNAcentral.